GACGAACGCUGGCGGCGUGCUUAACACAUGCAAGUCGAACGGAAAGGCCCUGCUUUUGUGGGGUGCUCGAUUGGGGAACGGGGGAGAAACACGUGAGUAUCCUCCCCUUGACUUUGGGAUAACUCAAGGAAACUGGGGUUAUUACCGCACAGGAGCCCUCGCUCCAUGUGGGGGGUUGGAAAGUUUCGGCGGUUGGGGAUGGACUCGCGGGUUAUCAGCUUGUUGGUGGGGUAGGGGCUUACCAAGGCUUUGACGGGUAGCCGGCCUGAGAGGGUGACCGGCGACAUUGGGACUGAGAGACGGCCCAGACUCCUACGGGAGGCAGCAGUGGGGAAUAUUGCACAAUGGGCGGAAGCCUGAUGCAGCAACGCCGCGUGCGGGAUGACGGCCUUCGGGUUGUAAACCGCUUUCGCCUGUGACGAAGCGUGAGUGACGGUAAUGGGUAAAGAAGCACCGGCUAACUACGUG
Molecule: ribosomal RNA, 468 nt
Filed under: uncultured bacterium
Lineage: Bacteria
Description: partial 16S ribosomal RNA
Rfam family: Bacterial small subunit ribosomal RNA
Source: RNAcentral